Molecule: transfer RNA, 66 nt
Filed under: Dolicheulota formosensis
Lineage: Eukaryota; Metazoa; Mollusca; Gastropoda; Stylommatophora; Camaenidae
Description: tRNA-Ala
Source: RNAcentral
UGAUACUGUACUUUAUUAAGAAGAUCUAAUUUGCGUUUAGAGAGAGAGUUUUAUUUCCAGUUUCAA